This 495-nucleotide ribosomal RNA is filed under the name uncultured bacterium. RNAcentral's name for it is "bacterial SSU rRNA". It matches the Rfam family "Bacterial small subunit ribosomal RNA", at positions 28 to 521 of the family's 1533-position model. The record is from RNAcentral.
GAUGAACGCUAGCGGCAGGCUUAACACAUGCAAGUCGAGGGGUAUUGGUUUUCGGACCAAGAGACCGGCGCACGGGUGCGUAACGCGUAUGCAAUCUACCUUUUGCAGAGGGAUAGCCCCAGAGAAAUUUGGAUUAAUACCUCAUAGUAUAGUACUUUGGCAUCAAGGAACUAUUAAAGUCACAACGGCAAAAGAUGAGCAUGCGUCCCAUUAGCUAGUUGGUAAGGUAACGGCUUACCAAGGCUACGAUGGGUAGGGGUCCUGAGAGGGAGAUCCCCCCACACUGGUACUGAGACACGGACCAGACUCCUACGGGAGGCAGCAGUGAGGAAUAUUGGACAAUGGGGCGCAAGCCUGAUCCAGCCAUGCCGCGUGCAGGAUGACGGUCCUAUGGAUUGUAAACUGCUUUUAUACAGGAAGAAACACUCCGACGUGUCGGAGCUUGACGGUACUGUAAGAAUAAGGAUCGGCUAACUCCGUGCCAGCAGCCGCGGU